This 635-nucleotide ribosomal RNA is filed under the name uncultured bacterium. Its description in RNAcentral is "bacterial SSU rRNA". It matches the Rfam family "Bacterial small subunit ribosomal RNA", at positions 214 to 864 of the family's 1533-position model. The record is from RNAcentral.
GGUGCCUUGGGAGGGGCCCGCGGCCUAUCAGGUAGUUGGUGAGGUAACGGCUCACCAAGCCGACGACGGGUAGGGGGCGUGAGAGCGUGGCCCCCCACACGGGAACUGAGACACGGUCCCGACGCCUACGGGCGGCAGCAGUGAGGAAUCUUGCCCAAUGGGGGAAACCCUGAGGCAGCGACACCGCGUGCGGGAUGAAGGCCUUCGGGUCGUAAACCGCUUUUCUGGGGGACGAGUAAGGACGGUACUCCAGGAAUAAGUCCCGGCUAACUACGUGCCAGCAGCCGCGGUAAAACGUAGGGGGCGAGCGUUAUCCGGAAUCACUGGGCGUAAAGGGCGUCUAGGCGGCAGCCUAAGUCCCGUGUGAAAGCUCCCGGCUCAACUGGGAGAGGGCAUGGGAGACUGGGCAGCUAGAGACUCGGAGGGGGGUGUGGAAUUCCCGGUGGAGUGGUGGAAUGCGUUGAGAUCGGGAGGAACACCAGUAGCGAAGGCGGCACCCUGGCCGAGAUCUGACGCUGAAGCGCGAGAGCGUGGGGAGCGAACGGGAUUAGAUACCCCGGUAGUCCACGCCGUAAACGAUGACAACUAGGUGUUGGGUGUCCAAGGAUGCUCAGUACCGCAGCAAACGCGAUAAG